UAAUACUCGAGUAACCUGCCCAUGACUCUGGGAUAAGCCCGGGAAACUGGGUCUAAUACUGGAUGCUACAUGUCACCGCAUGGUGGUGUGUGGAAAGGGUUUACUGGUCUUGGAUGGGCUCACGGCCUAUCAGCUUGUUGGUGAGGUAAUGGCUCACCAAGGCGACGACGGGUAGCCGGCCUGAGAGGGUGACCGGCCACACUGGGACUGAGACACGGCCCAGACUCCUACGGGAGGCAGCAGUGGGGAAUAUUGCACAAUGGGCGAAAGCCUGAUGCAGCGACGCCGCGUGAGGGAUGACGGCCUUCGGGUUGUAAACCUCUUUCAGCAGGGAAGAAGCCACAAGUGACGGUACCUGCAGAAGAAGCGCCGGCUAACUACGUGCCAGCAGCCGCGGUAAUACGUAGGGCGCAAGCGUUGUCCGGAAUUAUUGGGCGUAAAGAGCUCGUAGGCGGUUUGUCGCGUCUGCUGUGAAAGCCCGGGGCUUAACCCCGGGUGUGCAGUGGGUACGGGCAGACUAGAGUGCAGUAGGGGAGACUGGAAUUCCUGGUGUAGCGGUGGAAUGCGCAGAUAUCAGGAGGAACACCGAUGGCGAAGGCAGGUCUCUGGGCUGUUACUGACGCUGAGGAGCGAAAGCAUGGGGAGCGAACAGGAUUAGAUACCCUGGUAGUCCAUGCCGUAAACGUUGGGCACUAGGUGUGGGGGACAUUCCACGUUUUCCGCGCCGUAGCUAACGCAUUAAGUGCCCCGCCUGGG
This 756-nucleotide ribosomal RNA is filed under the name Kocuria sp. 116. RNAcentral's name for it is "bacterial SSU rRNA". It matches the Rfam family "Bacterial small subunit ribosomal RNA", at positions 111 to 877 of the family's 1533-position model. Lineage: Bacteria; Bacillati; Actinomycetota; Actinomycetes; Micrococcales; Micrococcaceae. The record is from RNAcentral.